GCCAGCGUGGUGUAUUGGUUUGAGCACUGGACUAUGACUCUGGAGACCAGGGUUCAAUUCCCAGCUCAGCCA
This is a non-coding RNA of Phrynosoma platyrhinos (Desert horned lizard), 72 nucleotides long. NCBI's taxonomy places the organism in Eukaryota, Metazoa, Chordata, Lepidosauria, Squamata, Phrynosomatidae. The record is from the annotation of a GenBank genome assembly.